AACAGUUGGAAACGACUGCUAAUACCCCAUAUGCUUUCGAGUGAAAUGGAUUUAUAUUUAUCCGCCUAGAGAGAAGCUCGCGGCUGAUUAGCUUGUUGGUAAGGUAAGAGCUUACCAAGGCGACGAUCAGUAUCUGGUUUGAGAGGACGAUCAGACACACUGGAACUGAGACACGGUCCAGACUCCUACGGGAGGCAGCAGUGGGGAAUUUUCCGCAAUGGGCGAAAGCCUGACGGAGCAAUACCGCGUGAGGGAAGACUGCCUAUGGGUUGUAAACCUCUUUUUUCAGGGAGGAAUCAAUGACGUGUACCUGAAGAAUAAGCAUCGGCUAACUCCGUGCCAGCAGCCGCGGUAAGACGGAGGAUGCAAGUGUUAUCCGGAAUCACUGGGCGUAAAGCGUCUGUAGGUGGUUUAAUAAGUCAACUGUUAAAUCUUGAGGCUCAACUUCAAAAUCGCAGUCGAAACUAUUAGACUAGAGUAUAGUAGAGGUAAAGGGAAUUUCCAGUGGAGCGGUGAAAUGCGUAGAUAUUGGAAAGAACACCGAUGGCGAAAGCACUUUACUGGGCUAUUACUAACACUCAGAGACGAAAGCUAGGGUAGCAAAUGGGAUUAGAUACCCCAGUAGUC
This 627-nucleotide ribosomal RNA is filed under the name uncultured phototrophic eukaryote. RNAcentral's name for it is "bacterial SSU rRNA". It matches the Rfam family "Bacterial small subunit ribosomal RNA", at positions 145 to 795 of the family's 1533-position model. The record is from RNAcentral.